RNAcentral lists this ribosomal RNA (425 nucleotides) under uncultured bacterium. RNAcentral describes it as "partial 16S ribosomal RNA". It matches the Rfam family "Bacterial small subunit ribosomal RNA", at positions 354 to 796 of the family's 1533-position model. The record is from RNAcentral.
GUUAGGAAUAUUGGACAAUGGGCGCAAGCCUGAUCCAGCCAUGCCGCGUGAGUGAUGAAGGCCUUCGGGUUGUAAAGCUCUUUAGUCCACGAAUAUAAUGACUGUAGUGGAAGAAUAAGCCCCGGCUAACUUCGUGCCAGCAGCCGCGGUAAUACGAAGGGGGCGAGCGUUAUUCGGAAUCACUGGGCGUAAAGCGUGCGUAGGCUGUUUUGUAAGUGAGAAGUGAAAGCCCAGGGCUUAACCCUGGAAUUGCUUUUGAAACUACAAGACUCGAAUUCGGGAGAGGAUAGCGGAAUUGUCAGUGUAGCAGUGAAAUGCGUAGAUAUUGACAGGAACACCAGUGGCGCAAGCGGCUAUCUGGACCGAUAUUGACGCUGAGGCACGAAAGCGUGGGGAGCAAACAGGAUUAGAUACCCCAGUAGUCC